Molecule: transfer RNA, 73 nt
Filed under: Ornithorhynchus anatinus (platypus)
Lineage: Eukaryota; Metazoa; Chordata; Mammalia; Monotremata; Ornithorhynchidae
Rfam family: tRNA
About the family: Transfer RNA (tRNA) molecules are approximately 80 nucleotides in length. Their secondary structure includes four short double-helical elements and three loops (D, anti-codon, and T loops).
Source: Rfam by way of RNAcentral
AGCAGUGUGGCCUAAUAGAUAAAGCCUGGCCCUGGGAGUCAGAAGGACAUGGGUUCAAGUCCCAGCUCUGCUA